AGAAAAGAGAAAAUUCACAAAAAAUAUCAAAUGACAAAAUAAAAAAAAUUAAAAAUCAGAAUCAGAAACUAGAAUUUAUUUGGAGACUAAUGCAAUUGGUCCCAUAAUUUUUUGGACCAAUAAUAAAAGAGAUAUGAAUUUUUGAAAUAAAAAGGGGAUUAAAUAAAAUAAAAUCAGAAAAAUAAAAAAUAGCAAAAAUCAGGAGACGUUCGAUCACAUUCAUUAAUUGACGUGGCCAAU
RNAcentral lists this long non-coding RNA (240 nucleotides) under Lathyrus oleraceus (garden pea). RNAcentral's name for it is "Pisum sativum (pea) long non-coding RNA (PSAT_LNC015018)". Lineage: Eukaryota; Viridiplantae; Streptophyta; Magnoliopsida; Fabales; Fabaceae. The record is from RNAcentral.